This is a long non-coding RNA of Diceros bicornis minor, 756 nucleotides long. RefSeq lists it as uncharacterized. NCBI's taxonomy places the organism in Eukaryota, Metazoa, Chordata, Mammalia, Perissodactyla, Rhinocerotidae. The record is from RefSeq and is a predicted model, not a curated record. The transcript is spliced from 3 exons.
ACCUCUGAAAAAAUGAGCUGUGUAGCAAAGACAACUCACUGAGCAAGAAAGAGACGAUCCAGGUCAAAGACCAAGGGCAGAGGUCAUCGAGAUGUCAAGUCUAAUCUACCUACGGAUGUGGCAGCAUUAACUAUGGAUGUUCAAGCCGGACAUUGCUAGCAGAACCACAUCUCUUUACUCAUAGCACGGACUGUAGGAGAAAGCCCAGAGGAGUAAUGAGGACAAAGAAGACAUGACACCUGCAAAAAGUCAGUAGAGUAUUUCUACAUAACAAUCCUUCCAGAUGAGUUAUGGUCAGAAUCUUCCACUGCUCCAGCUCUCGCAAUAAACCUAGAACCUGCCCAGGGUAAGCCAGAAGAUGACGCCCCCCUAGUCCACUCCCCUCCCGGGUCCUGUUUGUGCAGGGUGACUGCCAUCAAGCAGACAAUGGACUCAGGAUGGGGCGUGUGCCUUUAGGGAGGCUGGCAGAGAGGCACAAAGUGGAACACCAGCUAAGUGCACACACCUGAGAGGCAGAGUUCCAGGUGCAGACUCAAAAUGUAUCAAGAAACUGUGUGAAGAAAAAGAAGCUACUCAACCUCUCUGAGCCUCAGUGUCCCCCCCCGUAAAAUGGGGAUCACAGGCCUACUUCACAGAGCCAUUGGGGAAGAUAUAUAAAAGUGCCUGUGACAGCCAGUGUCCACAUUAUUAACAAAGUCGUAUCUGACUUCAGAAUAAUCGAUGAAAAGAAUAAUGUCGAUGAGACCAAAGACAAGA